Molecule: ribosomal RNA, 468 nt
Filed under: uncultured bacterium
Lineage: Bacteria
Description: partial 16S ribosomal RNA
Rfam family: Bacterial small subunit ribosomal RNA
Source: RNAcentral
GACGAACGCUGGCGGCGUGCUUAACACAUGCAAGUCGAACGGAAAGGCCCUGCUUUUGUGGGGUGCUCGAGUGGCGAACGGGUGAGUAACACGUGAGUAACCUGCCCUUGACUUUGGGAUAACUUCAGGAAACUGGGGCUAAUACCGGAUAGGAGCUCCUGCUGCAUGGAGGGGGUUGGAAAGUUUCGGCGGUUGGGGAUGGACUCGCGGCUUAUCAGCUUGUUGGUGGGGUAGUGGCUUACCAAGGCUUAGACGGGUAGCCGGCCUGAGAGGGUGACCGGCCACAAUGGGACUGAGGUACGGCGCAGACUGCUACGGGAGGCAGCAGUGGGGAAUAUUGCACAAUGGGCGGAAGCCUGAUGCAGAAACGCCGCGUGCGGGAUGACGGCCUUCGGGUUGUAAACCGCUGUCGCCUGUGACGAAGCGUGAGUGACGGUAAUGGGUAAAGAAGCACCGGCUAACUACGUG